ACGGAAGGCAGCAGUGGGGAAUAUUGCACAAUGGGGGAAACCCUGAUGCAGCGACGCCGCGUGAAGGAAGAAGUAUCUCGGUAUGUAAACUUCUAUCAGCAGGGAAGAUAAUGACGGUACCUGACUAAGAAGCCCCGGCUAACUACGUGCCAGCAGCCGCGGUAAUACGUAGGGGGCAAGCGUUAUCCGGAUUUACUGGGUGUAAAGGGAGCGUAGACGGUGCUGCAAGUCUGAAGUGAAAGGCAUGGGCCCAACCUGUGGACUGCUUUGGAAACUGUGGUGCUUGAGUGCCGGAGGGGUAAGCGGAAUUCCUAGUGUAGCGGUGAAAUGCGUAGAUAUUAGGAGGAACACCAGUGGCGAAGGCGGCUUACUGGACGGUAACUGACGUUGAGGCUCGAAAGCGUGGGGAGCAAACAGGAUUAGAUACCCUGGUA
Molecule: ribosomal RNA, 434 nt
Filed under: uncultured Blautia sp.
Lineage: Bacteria; Bacillati; Bacillota; Clostridia; Lachnospirales; Lachnospiraceae
Description: bacterial SSU rRNA
Rfam family: Bacterial small subunit ribosomal RNA
Source: RNAcentral